Long non-coding RNA from Ipomoea nil (Japanese morning glory), 1017 nucleotides. RefSeq lists it as uncharacterized. The transcript has 2 exons. The record is from RefSeq and is a predicted model, not a curated record. NCBI's taxonomy places the organism in Eukaryota, Viridiplantae, Streptophyta, Magnoliopsida, Solanales, Convolvulaceae.
AAUUCUACUCUUGAAAUUUUUUUAUUUUCCUUUUUUUUGUUGAAUAGCUGACUUUAGGUCAAACCUGUUAGAGAUUGAUUACAUUUUGUAAGGAUUUUUUUUUGGAUGGUUUCAAUAAUCUUCUUCGUCGUAAGAUCUUGAAACAUGCAGUGAGUAGGGAAAAAGGUUGUUAAAAGACAUGUUGGUAACUGUUCAAAGCAUGAGUGAUUUGACUAACUGAAAGCAAAUUAAAAGACAUGUUGGUAAAGCUCAAGACAGAUGAUAACGGGAGAUGAGGAAUUGGAUUAGCAGUGCUAGUCCCAAGCACCUUAGAUGUGGAUGGAGAAAAUUGGAAGGUAGAUAGGGGCUAGAGUUUUACCUGUCAUAUGAUUCGUGGCACAGCCGAAUCAAUAACCCAUUUGGAAGCUGAAGAGACUAGGCAAGUAUUGGGAUUACAUGAAGUUGCAACAACUACAAUUGAGGCAGUUGAUGAAGAUUCUUAUUCAGAAUCACCCCUAAACUUGCAGACCGGUUGACCAGCGACUCCUCUGGUGCGGGCAGUGGCUACAAAUGGCCCGCAAAAAACCCGACUCGAACUUCUUGCCGUGCGCACAGAAAAGGAAGAGGAAAAAAAUACGGAUUUUUUUUUUUUCUCAAACCUGAAGCUCUUGAUAGUUGAUACCAUGUAAGUCUAAGAGAAAUCUGUAUUUCACACACCACGAAGACAAAGGAAUGCACACAUAUAUAAGGAAAUCAAUCCCUAAGGUCCUGCUACUAGUGACUAAAUAUAUGCCCUACCAUGUAUAAUGUCUAACACUGACAAUGUGAUCUAGCAUAUAAUUACAGAUACUCAUGUAUGCACCUGCAAUUUUCAAGAUACGAAAGAAGCAUGUGCAGCCUGAAGAGAGCUAAUUAUCCCAUAUUCCAUCAAUCCCAUUUUGCAAUUAUUGAUCCUAUCUCCCCUAGGCAUGCGUAGGAGAGUGCCAUAAUUAUCUUCUAUUUUAUUGCUAUACAGAUGUGUUAAGAAUAUAAAACAAA